Molecule: small nuclear RNA, 116 nt
Organism: Rana temporaria (common frog)
Lineage: Eukaryota; Metazoa; Chordata; Amphibia; Anura; Ranidae
Product: U5 spliceosomal RNA
Exons: 1
Source: RefSeq, a predicted model, not a curated record
AUACACUGGUUUCUCAUUAGAGUGAAUAAAUCUUUUGCCUAUUACUAAAGAUUUUAGUGGAGAGGAACAACCAUGAGUUUCGGUGAAUUUUUUUUAUGGCUGGCUAAUGCUGGUCC